This is a long non-coding RNA of Branchiostoma floridae (Florida lancelet), 733 nucleotides long. RefSeq lists it as uncharacterized. NCBI's taxonomy places the organism in Eukaryota, Metazoa, Chordata, Leptocardii, Amphioxiformes, Branchiostomatidae. The transcript is spliced from 4 exons. The record is from RefSeq and is a predicted model, not a curated record.
UUCAUCAGACUGUGGCGUAUUUGCGAUUGCAUUUGCAACCUGUCUGGCAUAUGGGGUACUGCCUCAGUCCGUGCGGAUAGACCAGAAUGAGAUGAGGGGACAUUUGUGGAGAUGCUUCAAAACUGGAAAGCUGGAACUGUUUCCAACAUACUGAACAGUUACACAGGAUGGCACAGUUACAGUGCAAGUCUCCAGUCCAAACCAGCAGCCCCCCUCCCACAUCCUGGUACUAGAGAAGGAUGAAGUUGAGAAGGCACUAUGGGAUGUAUGACAGUCAUAACAGUGCAAGUCUCCAGUCCAAACCAGCAGCCCCCCUCCCACAUCCUGGUACUAGAGAAGGAUGAAGUUGAGAAGGCACUAUGGGAUGUAUGAGUCAUAACAGUGUAACUGUAAGCCUCCAGUCUCACCCGGUAGAGAUGCAGGUGCCUCACUCCAACACGCCUUGCAGUUAUGAGGUUUUGCUCCAGAAGACUGCUACAAGAUAAACCAUAUCUACAAAAGUGUGGAUUUGUACUCUCUAAUCUCCAUUUCAUUGCUAUCAGGGCAAUGCAUGAUGUAUGAAAAUAGAAAUGAAUGUAUGUUCAACACUUUUAUUGGCAGUCAACAUGUCAUUAACUUAAGUUUAUCACACCCUGUAGCUCAAGUAGCAAUAUCUGUGUGGCAAUAUGUACACAAAGUUGACUAAGUGCUAUCCUGUACAGUGAAUGUAUGUGAUCUAACUGCACCUUACUAC